CCUUUUCUGUGCCCUUUUGAGGUUGGUGCUGUACCUUAAGAGGCUAACAGGAAGGGUAAAGGAACUCUCCAUUAAACCCAGAGCAGAGGCUGUGCACCUCCUCUUAGAUCCUGUCUGGAGUCACAGAU
Cricetulus griseus (Chinese hamster) is the source of this 128-nucleotide small nucleolar RNA. Ensembl annotates it as small nucleolar RNA SNORA26. The record is from Ensembl. Lineage: Eukaryota; Metazoa; Chordata; Mammalia; Rodentia; Cricetidae.